This 484-nucleotide ribosomal RNA is filed under the name uncultured bacterium. Its description in RNAcentral is "partial 16S ribosomal RNA". It matches the Rfam family "Bacterial small subunit ribosomal RNA", at positions 30 to 507 of the family's 1533-position model. The record is from RNAcentral.
AUUGAACGCUGGCGGCAGGCCUAACACAUGCAAGUCGAGCGGAUGAAGGGAGCUUGCUCCUGGAUUCAGCGGCGGACGGGUGAGUAAUGCCUAGGAAUCUGCCUGGUAGUGGGGGAUAACGUCCGGAGACGGGCGCUAAUACCGCAUACGUCCUGAGGGAGAAAGGGGGGGAUCUUCGGACCUCACGCUAUCAGAUGAGCCUAUGUCGGAUUAGCUAGUUGGUGGGGUAAAGGCCUACCAAGGCGACGAUCCGUAACUGGUCUGAGAGGAUGAUCAGUCACACUGGAACUGAGACACGGUCCAGACUCCUACGGGAGGCAGCAGUGGGGAAUAUUGGACAAUGGGCGAAAGCCUGAUCCAGCCAUGCCGCGUGUGUGAAGAAGGUCUUCGGAUUGUAAAGCCCUUUAAGUUGGGAGGAAGGGCAGUAAGUUAAUACCUUGCUGUUUUGACGUUACCAACAGAAUAAGCACCGGCUAACUUCGUG